Molecule: non-coding RNA, 102 nt
Filed under: Planococcus rifietoensis
Lineage: Bacteria; Bacillati; Bacillota; Bacilli; Caryophanales; Caryophanaceae
Description: Guanine sequence
Rfam family: Purine riboswitch aptamer
About the family: Riboswitches are metabolite binding domains within certain messenger RNAs that serve as precision sensors for their corresponding targets.
Source: Rfam by way of RNAcentral
AAUUAUAGAAUACAGUGCCCUCAUAUAUGUCCGAUGAUACGGUUCGGAUGUCUCUACCAAGUCACCGGAAAUGACUUGACUAUGAAGGCGGAUGACGCAUGC